UUGUCAGCAAAGCCAUAGAAAGUGUAAUAGUUUCUGUAGUAUGACCCGUUAUCUUAUAAUGCUUGCAUUGGGGACGACUCCUACCACCACCAUCGGGUCCUCAUCUAAUGACAUGACCACCUUUUCCACAUGUAGAUACCAUAGCAGAGGAUUUAGCAAAUUCUUGAAAUUUUCUGCCUUUGAGAGCUAUAACAUGAAGAAGUCGCGUUCUUAAGAUUUCAAUGGUUUGAACUUCUUGACCUGUUAAGAUAUGAUCCCUAAUAUAAAUCAAAAUUUGGAUUCAAUGCAUGAAGGAUCUUGAACAACUUCCAAGAACAUCUUCAAUCUUUCAACACCAGAUUAACCUUCAACAAUAAAAGACAUCAUAUCAUGAUCUGUUUGUUUAAGGGGUGCUAGCUUGUGCGAAAAAUCACAGAGCCACUGAAUGCCAUUUGCAAAAAUACUCUUAAGAUUUUUUCCAAGAGGUUGUGUAUGCUUUAAUAGUUGAGGGUUCCACAAAUUGCCAUAAUAGAGCACAAAGUUGAAAGUCCAAACUUUGUCAUUGUGCAGUAUUUUCUUAUGAGAACUCACUAACAUCUUUUUCCGAGUGAUCAUGAAACCAAAAGCCAAGAAACCAAAGUUCAAUAGAGGUUGUCCAAGAUAAAUAAUUUUUCCCAUUAAGCUUUUCUAAUGUAAUGGUGGGAGAACUUGAGAAACAGUGUGUUGGCCCACAAGUCAUUUAUGAUAAGAAAAGAGGGGGUAAAGCAGGAGCUCUACAAAGAAAAAAGGGGAGCCAAACAAUCAAUCCGUGAGGAAGGGACAAUAGGGGCUGGAAUGGGACAUAUAGGGGACAACAUAUCCAGCUGCGACUGCACAAUUUCACUUUGAUGGUUGGAAGAUGGCACGUGGGCAAAGAGGCUGUGCAUGGUAGCAUGUGAGUAGUUUCUGCCUUUGAGACCCACAGGGUUGGCUGUCACCCAAAGAGACUCUCCUGAUUCGGUGGUCUUUGGAGGAAACUAUGAUAGUUUGACAACAGUAGACAAUAGUAGACAGUGGUUGGACAACAUUUUCUUUGCCGGAAAGACAGACAAGCAAAGUGGGAUCAACUUGCUCCAAUACCAACUAAAGAGAGACUAUAUUUUAUAAAGCUUAUCCAACUCUCUCUUAGGUUCUCAUAUUUAUACAGAAAUGGUAGAUUCAUUUGAGAUACAUUGGAAGAUAGAUAGAUUAGAAAACAAGCAUCUCUGGUCCCUAGGUACAACUCAAAACAACUUUUUAAUAAAGUCUAUAACAAUACAUGCUUAAUGAGACUUUUAUUUAUUAGUUCUAUAUGAAUAUUAGAAGUGUUGCUCACUCGUUAAAUAUGUGAAAUUGUUGUACCAGACAUAAUACUUUAGUUUUUGACAAACAACGAUAUUAAUUGUGAAGACUGGGAAGAAAAUAACAACAUUUGUAUGGGUGAUUGAUCUAUCUUAUUUGAUGUGAUGCACUGAAUGGAUGUCUGAAAUUAUAAUUUACAUGGGAUGAGGGGUCAUGUUUGGUACAAACCCUAGCUGUGUAGGUUUAUUUUAGUUUUUGUUUCUGCUAAUGAGUAAAUAGCCUGCUCCAAUUCUUGGCGUGCGACUUUGUAUUUGUUGGACAAUUUACUUAAUCCCAAUUGGCUUUCGAUGAAAUUUGACAUGGUAUCAAAGUCUAUAGUUAAUCUUGGUAAGUGAUCUAAUCUGGUAGGCAUAUGUGGAGGGGUUUUUUUGGAAGUCUCACAUGUCUGUCUCAAUUCUUAUAAUGUGACAUAUCUGUUGAGCAACUUCAUUUGAUACCAAUGGGUUUUAGAUUAAAUCUGGCACGUACUAGUAACGGUUGAUGACUACUCGACCUUUGGUCUCGUAUAAAGUGCUUAGGCAUAUUGAUCUUCAACAACUACAUAUUUCUGUUGCUGGCACACUUAAAAUUAAAAGAUGUUCUCUUGUUUAUGUUCUUGCACUUGCAGAACACAUCAGGAAGUUUAUGUUUUCGUGGUCAAAGUAUAUUUCUACAUAAUACAAGUGGCUGGUUUGGCAGUAUUCCUCUAGAAGCAUCUGGGGAUUUUGGCAUCCAUCCUGAGGAAGGAGAGUUUCAUCUUCUGUGUCAGGUACUCCCUUAUGUGUGUGCUUGAGUUCAUAAUUAUUUAUUUAUUGUUAGAAGAUAGCAUGGUUACUGAUAGAGGGCUUGGUUUUAUACUAUGACUUGAUCCUAUCGGUGGUAAUAUAAAUAACUGCAUUAGGUUAUUGGAAAAUGUUAGUAAACUCUGAUAACACAUUACUGACCAUCAUUCUUGCAUUUUUCUAGUCUAAAAUUUUAAAAGCUAGUAUUCACUUUGAGGAUUAUUUCUCCAUUCUCCUGUAUUAGGUUUCUAGAACUUAGUUGUAUGUUCUCCUUGAUGUGUUUGAAUUUUAGAAAAUAAAAAUAAGAAAAAAAUGUUGAACAGGAAAAAUUAACUGUAUUUCUUACUUGUGGAACCAUUACAACGAGAGUAAAUAAAUUGAGAUACUAGGCUGAUUCUGUACACUGAUUUGAACCUAAGAAUCAAGUGAAAAUGAUUCUUCAUAAAAAUAUUGUUCAUACCAGAGGAGAGAAAUUAUAGCAUAUCCUGAUUCUAGCUGCAUCAGAAAAUUGCGUUGUUCUGUUUGAUUGCACAGUCAUCUACGCACUCCCUGUAUUUUGGUGAUAGAUAUCUUAGGGGAUUUCAUCUUAGAAUUUGGACUUAGGACCUAUCUCAACUUUACCUGUUUGUUAGGGGAGAAUUGCAAAAGCUAUAUAAGUUCUAUUUAAGCAAUAUUUCUGGUCAACAUGGGACUAAACCACCACCCUUGAGACUACUAUUACAGGAUACCCCAAAGAAGUCAUUAGUACGGUGGCUGAGGAGUGACUGCAAUUAAGACAACUUUCCAACACUUAUAUUGAUGCAAACUGGGGGAAUUUCUUGUGGUAGGAGGUCCACCGCUUGGUAACUCUUUGGAGGAAAUCCGAGUUCAUUGUAAAGCAAGAACUAGCAUGUGCUUACAAAGAUCAAGUGCUGAAGCUAAUACUAAGCUAUGACUCUCACUAAAGGUGAAUUCAUAUGUUUGAAACAACUUUUAAAAGUUAAAAUUUUGUGUUGUGAGAGUAAACCUAUGAAGCUAAUUUGUGACAACCAGACAUUUCUUCUAACCCAAUCUUCUAUAAACAAACUGAACAUUUAGAAAUUCACUAUCACUUCUUUAAUGAAUACUUUUGGAGAACUUAGCACAUACAUCGUCAGGUUCAAGUGGUCUGAGUGAUACUGGACUCUGCUAUUAAGCAUUGCCUUAGGUUUGAGUCUUAUGGAUGGAAAAAAUGUGGUUAGGAGAGGCAAUCCCACAGGUGGCCAGUCAGGUUUUCUGAUAAAGUAGUCAUUGGCAAAGCUGGUAGAUACUUACUAAUAAUAUAGUUGUGAAAAAUUAUCAAUUGGCUGAUUUGUUCUCAAGGGAGGGGGACCAAAAAUAUUUUAGAUGUGCACUAAGCUGGACGCUUUUGAUUAAGGGGAAGUGUUGGAAUCAUAGAUAACUUGAUUACAAUUAGAUUUAGCUCGCUUUAAUGCUUAUGUUCAUUGCAAUCUAGGGAACUGAAAUAGUUUAAUUACCCUUUCUUGUGAACAGUAUUCUGUAAUUAUUUCUGUGUAUGUGUAUCCUUGAACUGCACUCAUAAUCAGUCUUCUAUUGUUUUUGUCUUCAACUAUUCUCACCUCAUUGAAUUUGAGGAAAAAGUUACAGUUUUUUCAUCUUCCCUAAUACAUUGUUGUUCAAUUUUCCAGGUUCCUAGUGUUGAAGUGAAUGAGCUGAUGAGAACUUUCAAUAUGAGAUCUCUCUUGUUUCCUGUAUGUUUUCUUCAGUUUGAUGCAUUAACUUAGACAUGUUCAAGUUUUCUAGUAGAUUAAUCAUUUCCAUUUUUAUAUAUUUUUUUCUUUCUUUAUAUUGCAGUUUUUCAAUCUGAAAACAGUACCAUUAAAGUUUUAUGCAAGUUUGUCUUAUAGUCAUUCAUAAAGUUAGUUCAUUGCUUUCAAUUUUUCUGUUAUUAUUUUUUAAUUGCGGUCCCACUGUACCAUUAUUUCUUUAUACUCACUAUAUUUCACAGCUAACACAUGGCUUUUGAUAAAAUUUAGGUUAGAUUUUCUAAAGACUUUUGUGAAGCAGAAGCUGUCUAUGACUUGUCAUAGAAGUUAAAUAGAAUUUCAAAAUUUGAGACAUAAUGUGCCUGAUGUCAAUUUCCACUGUCUCCUAAAAAAGUAAUUGAUUAGAUUUGGUUCCCAGAAGUGUCUCUUUCUUUUGUUUUAGUCCUUUUGAAUUUGGUCUAAACCAGUUUAAUCUCAAAAGCUAGAUCAGAAGGUGCGAAUUGCCUAAGCCUUUAUUAGCUUUACUCUACUGGCAAAAUGAGAUCUCAACAACCCCCUACUUGAAAACCUUACAUUUUGAUCCAUAUAAUUUUAUAAAACUGAUCCCCAUAAUGUCGUUAGAGUAUUCUUCAUGCAAGGACCAAAACAAAAAAGGUAUGUCAUUUGUAGUGACCAAAAUAUAGUGUUUCUUGCAAAUAUGAAAAAAAAAUGGAGUGCCUUUUUUUUUGUCUAGAGGUUAAAAGGAAAAAUGGUGUUAUGUAUUGACACCAUAUUUAACACUGUUACAAUCUAAAUGAACAAUAGGAAUUGAUUCAUACAUGAUUUUUCUUAUAGGAACUAACAUGUUAAGUUAUAUUGGGACUAAAAACAAUCUAUGAUGUGUGGAGACCAAAUUUAUAAUUUAACCAAAUUAAGUAUUAGCUUAUCCAAUAUCAAUUCUUGUAUUUCUAAUUCUUUUAGGAGUGUCUGUGGGUUGGGAUGGGUGGGAUUUGGGCAAACCCAUUACCCAACCCACUAAAAAGGUAUUUUGGGUUUGGGUUUCUACAUUUUUAAUGUUAAACCCAAUACAUUCUUUAACGGGUUGGGUCAAUUGGAUUAAGAUUUUGAAAAAGUUUCUUUUCUUUUGUUACAUGUUGUGAUUUUCAAGUAUCAACCUAAUUAAAAAAUAACACAAUCUUCACAAAAAUGAAUUCAAGGCUUCUGAGUAAGCCAAUAAGUCAAGUCCUAACAAGUUUAUCCAAACUAAUUCAAGACAUGAAAAGAAAAACAUAAUGCAAUUUGUCCAUAACACAAGUAUAAGAGUGAGUCUCAAGUCACCCAUACUAAACUCAUUUUCCAACCCAUAUAAGAUUAAGUUACUCUUGGUUGGGUUGCGUUUGAUCCAUUCAUAAAUGAAACCCUUAACCCAAUUUAAUUGGAGUGGAUUGGGUCAGGUUGGGUCAUCAGGUAACCCAAGCCAAUGAACACCUGUAAUUUUUUUCAUAAUCAAAGUUUAUUGAUUGCAGCUUGCAGGAUCAAUGACUGCUCUAUUUAAUUGUCAAGGCCCUCUGGAUACUCCUAUAUUUGUGGGAACUGGGAUGCUUUCUAGGACAUCCUCUUCUUUACAUGUGGACACUCCUACAACUGAAGCAUCUGAAGUGCUUGCUAAAAGUAUGGAGGCUGGAGCAUUGGCAGUAUUUGAUCGUGUACCUUUUUCACAUGUAUCUGCUAAUUUCACUUUCAACACUGAUAACUGUGUAAGUUGAAAGUGAUAAUAAUUUGCACUGGAUGGUUCAGCUUUGACUCGUUGUUUAGGUUUGGUAACAUUUCCAUGCAUAGCACAGAUUGCUGAUUUGUAUGGAAUCAGGGCGAGCCUUGUGGAUGGUGGUGAAAUUCAAGGGGCUGGAACAGUGUGGAUAUGCUCAGAGGUAUAUUAGUACCUGUAAACUAUUUAAUAACAUUUUUUUUUCUUUUAGCCAUGAAGUAGCAUGCUUUUAUUUAGCAAAUAGUCACCACUUUAUAUUUCCAGUUUCCUAGAAUGUAUGUUAAUACAAUGGUGGAUCACCUACGUUUUACCCACUUUACGAUGUUAUAUUUAUUUUUUACUUAUUUAUGUUGGAGAGGGACUUCUUGGAAUUUCUCACAUGAAAGGUAGUUAUUCUCAUUCUCACAAAUCAGGAUACUAAUAGGUUUCAUUGAUUGGCUAAAACAAAAUUUCAGAAUACGAGUAUCUUGUUUUCUGUACAGUUUUCCCUCACCCUGCUAGUGUAUACUGUUUUGUUCUCAGGCUUUGGAUGAUGACACAGCAAUAGAUGCAAACUUCUCAGGAAGUUUUAACUUUGAGAAAAUUAUGCUUCGUUAUGUUCCCAGUUAUCAUCACUUUAUGCCACUCAAAUUUGGGGUUUUGAAUGAAAACACAAAACUUUCAGGAUCUCUUUUAAGACCGUAAGAUUAUUCCUUUAUCAGCUUUGAUUGAUUAAUAUUUAGUAAAAUUGUUGCUUAUUUCAUUGAUAUUAUCAAUGACUUUUCCAUUUCCUUAUUAUCAAUAUUUCUUGUUCUUCAAGUUGGCCUGUCCCAACUUGUUAAUACAGCUUUCCUUCUCAAUGAGUUAUAUAAUUUUUUUUAUUGCAGGAGGUUUGAUAUAAAAUGGACUGCACCGACAGCAGAAGGGUCUCUUGAUGAUGCUAGAGGAGAUAUCAUAAUCUCCCAUAAUUUCAUAACUGUUAAUUUUGCUUCAGCUGCAUUUGAUUUGUAUGUGAAAGUUCAAACUUCUUAUGCUGAUAACUUCUCUCUUAGAAGAGAAGAGUUUAAUGCAUCGAGAGCCAUUCCAUUUAUUGUUGGUGGAGUUGAUUUUGAUUUGCACAUGCAUGGAUUUGAAUUCUUUAGUUUGGUUACUCCUUAUAUGUUGGAUUUUCCAAGACCUUUGGUUUUGAAAGCAGCAGGAAGAGUCAAGUUUCAGGGAAACCUCUUAAAACCUAGUACCACUAUUGUUGAACAAAAUUUUGACAAGAACAAGAAACAUUUGUGUAUGUUGGAGAAAGGAAAUGCAGAUAGUCUGUUUGGUGAGGUUUCAAUCUCUGGUCUCAAAGUUAAUCAAUUGAUGCUUGCACCUCAGCUGUCUGGGUCGUUGAGUGUUUCUCCCGAAUAUAUAAAGGUGAUGAAUAAAAAUUUCUCCUCGUAAAAGUUGUUUCAUUUUGAGAUAUUAUGAACUUAACAAACUUCCUGGUAUUAUCAAAUUGUAGUACAGUUCUGUUUUUUUAGGAUGGGGAGAGGUGUGUUUACAAAAUCAUGGACUAGGGUCCUAUUAAAGAGAUUUGAAUUGAAUAAAUAUGGGUGGGGAUGGGGGAUAUAAGUUCUUGGUGAAGGUUUUUAAAUUCAUGAGCAGUUAAUUGGCUAAUGAUUAAUGUGUUGAAAGAGCUGUUAACAAGUAAUUGCUUGGUGACUUAAUGAAACAGUUGAAUGGUUAACUGUUCCUUACUAGCAAUAUAUGACCAAGAUUCCUUUUUGAAAUAUCUAUUGAUCAUUAUGUUUGAUAUUUUGAUGGAUGAAAUCUCUAGAUCUAUUCCCAUAGAGUGAAUAUGUUUCAAUUAACUCUCACUCUCCUGUCACACACGAUAAAAUCGUUGAGGAUGUUUGGUAUAUAAAGCCUGGUGACAAGCUUCCUGAACUUGAUUUAUAUGCAAGUGUUAAGUUAACUUGUAGAUUUUUGUUGGAUCUUGCUUCUUUCGGAAAUAAAUUUAAAAGGUUGAAGUUGGACUUCAAGAUGAAACUCUUCCAGAGAAUUAUGCAGGCCCUGCUUUGCUUAUGAUUUUGUCACUUGGUUAAGGAAAGUGAUUGAUAUGAACAUAGAGUUUUAUGACUAGGUCAACUCAUCCACAUGUACAUGUGAAUUAUCUUAAAUGGGAUAUUUCUCCUUUGUACAAUUUAUAAUAUAAUUUAUAUUUGUAUUUUAUUUCAAUAGGAUUUUUUCCCCUCAGGUAUCCAUAUUUAAAAAUAGUUAUUUAGUUAAAGGUAUACAUCUUUAUGUCUGUAAGUUUCAAAUAUCCUUUUGAGAAACAAUUUCAAAUUGUCUGGCUUUAUUCUACAUGUAUUAGUUUUUCUAACUUCCAUUCUUUAUUGGAGUGUAGUUGGAUGCCUCAGGUAGGUCUGAUGAAAGUCUUGUGGUGGAUUUUGUUGGCCCGCUACAGCUUAGUGGUGAAAGUGGUCUGAAAAGUGGAACAGUGUUGUCCGUUUCCCUUCAUAAGGGACAAUUGAGGGCUAAUGUAGAUUUUCGACCAUGUUAUUCAGCUAGCUUGGAGGUACCUAUAUUUAAAUAUUAGGUCAAAUGAUUGAAUCUAGAUAUAUUUGAUUCUGUGCUGGCAUAUUUUUAGGCACGCUAUGAGCCCAAACGUUAAUGUUGAUUUUUUUUUUUUUUUUUUUUUCGUUUUUCUUCCUUUUUUGGGCUGUACUUUUAGGUAUGUCAUUUUCCACUUGAUGAGCUGGAGAUUGCUUCUCUCAGGGGAACUAUACGUAGAGUAAGCCAUAAUAUUACCUAUCUGACUUCAUAAUUACUUAUCAUUCUUGUCUUUGCUAGACAGUCCUAUGCAUAUUUUUAUCAUAUGAAGUUGACCCAGUUUUGUCAGGGUAUUAUACAAUUUUCAGUGUUCUGCAUGAGUUAUUCAUGUGACUCAAGAUCUUUUAUAGUAAAUGCAAGAGGGCUUUGAGGAGAAUAAAUGACUAUUAGUAAGAUACCCAUCUCCAAUUCUAGAAGAUCAAGCAUUGGUUAUUUCUAGUUAAUAUCUCUAGCAUAGCUGCUAAUGUAAAUAAAGUCCUUUGGGCUUAAAGGAUUUACUCAAAACAGUAGGUUCUAAUCGGUGUCACUGAUCACCAUCCAAAAAGCUCAUAUUAUUUGAAGAAACUAUAAUAUUUUUAUUAAUAAGGAGGUAUUAUUGAUGGUGGUAAAAGAAAUCUUUUAUUUAAGUAUAUAAAGGCAUUACAAAAUUAUAAUAUUUGAAAAUUGACAUAUACACCAUAGUUUGUAAAAUUAAUUUUAAAAUAAAAUUCCUAAAAAUAGGGAGUGUGUCUAACAUGGUGUAUGUGGUGACUUUAAAUUAUUUUCUCCUGUUUACAAUUAGAAUAAAAAGCAAACUGGAUUUAUGGCAAAGAAAAAUGGAUAUCAAAUGAAGGAAUUCCUUUCCAUAGAGGUAUGGGAAUUUUUAAGAUAAAACAUAGCAAAGGUGCUCAUACACGAAAUAUGGAUAACAUAAAAUUUAGAGGAAAGUAUUUCUAAUAUGCCACUUUUUCCAUCUCUAUCAGAUUUGUUAUUUUUAAACCUUUUGAUCUUUCCCUUUUUCUGUUCAUUCCUGCCUGAAUAAUUACAUGGUCAAAGCAUUAUUUAAUAGUUAAUUAAAAUUAUGUAGUACUUUUCAGCUAGUUGCCUUUUUUCUUUAUUUCGGGGAAAUAUGCAACUUUUGACAUUUUUAUCUGAUAUGUUGCUACUUCAUUUACCUCUUCACUUCUGCCUUUUUCUGUUUAGUCUUGCCUGAAUGCUGACUUGGUUGCUGCGUUAUAAAUGGUCAUGAAAUAAAAGUAAUGUGGUUUCUAUCUGGUUGACCUUUUCUUUUUCAGGCAGAAAUCCAGCUUAAUCUUCCAAAAAGAAGAGGACAUGGAAUCAUAUCUGUACUUUGUCCAAAAUUCAGUGGGGUGAUCGGUGAAGCACUGGAUGUGGCAGCUAGGUGGAGUGGAGAUGUUGUGAGUUCCUAAGUUCAUUCUCUUAGGUUGAGAAGUGAAAGCAGGCAAUGUGACUGAAUGCAUAGUGUAUUACGUGGAGUGGGUAACAAUUACAACAAAAAUAAUUUGCUAAUUUCUAUAAUUCUUUGAAUCCUCUAAUUGUUUUGUUAACCAAAGAUAUCUACAAUAUGUGACACAUUCUCUCAAGUUGAAGCAUGUAUAAAUCAUAUGCAUUGAGCUAGACACAGACUUCGUGAAGUCAUAUGCUGAUUGACUAUUGAAGUUGGCAAAAUUAGUGAUUUCAUUUUGUCAAAUUCAAUUUUAAUAUAGUAAUAAUGGCAUUAAAUUGUGGUUAUGUUGCACUAGUAUCUGAACUGCACAUUGUGCUUUGUUUUUUACUGAUUGUCAGUUGGUGUUCUAUUGUUCAGAUCACAAUUGAAAAAACUGUUUUGAAACAAAGCCACAGUUAUUAUGAAAUGCAAGGAGAAUAUGUAUUACCUGGCACUAGAGAUUGCCCUGUUG
This 10075-nucleotide long non-coding RNA is filed under the name Vigna radiata. Its description in RNAcentral is "long non-coding RNA (VRAD_LNC003812)". Lineage: Eukaryota; Viridiplantae; Streptophyta; Magnoliopsida; Fabales; Fabaceae. The record is from RNAcentral.